Diospyros lotus (date-plum) is the source of this 1568-nucleotide long non-coding RNA. RefSeq lists it as uncharacterized. NCBI's taxonomy places the organism in Eukaryota, Viridiplantae, Streptophyta, Magnoliopsida, Ericales, Ebenaceae. The transcript has 5 exons. The record is from RefSeq and is a predicted model, not a curated record.
UCCAAAUACCCUAAUUCAAAAGGACGCCGAACCAUCCAAGCUCCCGAUAUCUGAUUGUCGCCAAAACCCUGGAGAGAACGAGACAGCGGAGACCUUCGCGAUUGUCGCCGGCACGUGGAGGGGAAGAACGGAGAUGGAGACCUUCGCAGGCACGUAGUGAGCACCCCCCGCAAAAACAAAUGGAAUGGGUGUUCCGUUGCUUCUGAGCUUUUGAAGAUUGAUUCAAAUCUGGAAGGGGUGUGGUAGCUUCCACAACUUGCCAUAUUGUGGAUGUGUAGAAGCAAUUCUAUGGGAUUUGCUAAGAUUUGUUCGCCUCCAAAAUGCAUGGAAGUAGCUUGCGCAAUCUUUUGAGGAUCUCAUGGGGAAGGCAGGCAACGGCAGGAUGUGAGGAUGGGGGGCUGUAGCUGCUGGUUGCAUUGCAUUCAGGAAUCUCAGGAGCCGGGUCAGGAGUGAGGAACGCUGGAGCGAAGCUAGAGAACUCCUAAAAGGACAAUGCUACACGUACAAAAUGGUAGACAAACGAGUAGACAACUCUACAUUCUCAUGAUAUAUUGAUACCAAUAUAUUGCAAGAAUUAAAAUUUUAAGAAAGCCCGCCCACUCUCAUUCUCUCCCUCCUCACUCUCCACAUCACUCUUACUCAAGCUCACCUCUCACCCACUCUCUCUCUCACCUCUCACUCUCUGCAUCACUCUUACUCAAACUCUCACCUCUCACUCUCUCUCUCUCUCUCUCUCACUCAAACUCUCACCCUUGACGGUCAUUACUGGAAUCGGCAUCCGUUUCACCCUUGACUGCCAUUACUGAAAACCCACUUCACCCUUGACCGCCAUUAUUGGAAUUGGAAACCCCUUUAUCGCCACAUCUCACCGUCUCUCUCUCACCUUACUCUCUGUAUCACUCUCCCAGAUCGGCUUGUACCUCGUACCUCUCGAAAAUCCACUUCUGCUAACCUCUCUAUUUCACCUCACCCUUGCAACGUGAAGAUCUCAUUUCCAGCCAACUCUUACCUCACCUCUCGAAAACCCCUUUGCCGCCAUACUCUCACUGCCUCUCUCUCUCACCUCACUCUGCUUUUUUUGGCUACAUCUCCCCUUGUCGGUGGCGACGAUCUCGGACUCACUUGGCCGAUCUCACAUUUUGCUCAUCUCUUACAGUGUUGAAGAAUUAAGCUGGGACAUAAGGAGGUUAAGAGACGGCCUUGGGGUGUAUCCGUGCUCUCCCGCCCUCUCGAUAAUAGCCCGUCUUCUUCCUUUUUGUGCGGGCCAGUUUUAUAAAAUUCAACCCUGCCCGGAAGUCCUUUUGAACGACAAAUUUGGGUAGCAAUUUAGUGAGCCGAUCUUUGGAAAAGCCUAAAUGAUGUGGCUGGGUUUGUGAAAUAUUCAAAUUUACAAAAUUUGUUUCUAUAUGGGUUCGUUGAUGUAUUGCUCUUAUCCUUUGGCCAACAGCAAAGUCGUAGUUUCAAGUCAAUAUUUGUGGGCUAGUAAAAAUAGAGUCCCACAGUAAUUUAGACCAUAUUUUUGGUCGUACAACAUUAUAGAGGUCCAUUAAACCGUAAUUUUGUUAGGA